GUUUUUCUUGCUCGCAGCACAUAUACUAAAAUUGGAACAACACAGAGUAAAUUAGCAUGGUCCCUAUGCAAGGAUGACACACAAAUUCGUGAAGUGUUCUAUAUUUUU
This is a non-coding RNA of Mesocricetus auratus (golden hamster), 108 nucleotides long. The record is from Rfam. NCBI's taxonomy places the organism in Eukaryota, Metazoa, Chordata, Mammalia, Rodentia, Cricetidae.